GGGUGCGAUCAUACCAGCACUAAUGCACCAGAUCCCAUCAAAACUCCGCAGAUAAGCGUGCUUGGAUGAGAGUAAUACUAGGAUGAGUGACCUCCCGAAAAAUUUUCGUGUUGCACCCU
RNAcentral lists this ribosomal RNA (119 nucleotides) under Brassica rapa (field mustard). The record is from RNAcentral. Lineage: Eukaryota; Viridiplantae; Streptophyta; Magnoliopsida; Brassicales; Brassicaceae.